UGGGGUUCUGGGGUUGUUCUUCCAUUCUUUGUCCACCAGAGGGGGCUGAGAGGCGUUUUCUCCUGGAGGGUGUGUCCAUGCUGAUAAUGCACGCACCUGCAGCAUAUCCCUCAUCAGUGGAGGGGUAUAUCAGCAGGGAGCUGCCGGCACUUCGACGCCAGAUUGUUGAUCAGUAAUGAUUAUCCCUGUGCUGAAAGAGGCGUGGGCACCGUUUUCCAAAGACAUCUGAUCCAACUCAUCCAAGUCCUCCAGCCGGCAAGCUGCACCUGUCCCAGCUCCUCCGAAGACCCAACCUACCUGUCCGCCCUCCUCCGCCUCCAACUCAGACCGCCGAUCCCGGAGCCUCUUAUUCCUCCCCUUCAAGAUCUGGACCCACUCCUAUAAGUAAGAUCACACAUCUCCGUUAAACACUUCAAACUCCCACUGAACUUGAACUCACCAUUCUGUGUUUUUGUCCGCACCCCAGAUCCCCUGAGACCCAGACAGGCAGUUCUCCGCUCCUGAACCUUUUUUCAUUGUCAGUUUUGUUUUUGCAAUAAAUAUAAGAAACCUUUUUCUA
Poecilia latipinna (sailfin molly) is the source of this 559-nucleotide long non-coding RNA. RefSeq lists it as uncharacterized. The record is from RefSeq and is a predicted model, not a curated record. NCBI's taxonomy places the organism in Eukaryota, Metazoa, Chordata, Actinopteri, Cyprinodontiformes, Poeciliidae. The transcript has 2 exons.